RNAcentral lists this ribosomal RNA (459 nucleotides) under uncultured bacterium. RNAcentral's name for it is "partial 16S ribosomal RNA". It matches the Rfam family "Bacterial small subunit ribosomal RNA", at positions 338 to 795 of the family's 1533-position model. The record is from RNAcentral.
CCUACGGGAGGCUGCAGUGAGGAAUAUUGGUCAAUGGGCGGGAGCCUGAACCAGCCAAGCCGCGUGAGGGAAGAAGGUACAGCGUAUCGUAAACCUCUUUUGUCAGGGAACAAAGGCGGGGACUAGUCCCCGGCUGAGGGUACCUGAAGAAAAAGCAUCGGCUAACUCCGUGCCAGCAGCCGCGGUAAUACGGAGGAUGCGAGCGUUAUCCGGAUUUAUUGGGUUUAAAGGGUGCGCAGGCGGCCUGUUAAGUCAGCGGUAAAAGCCCGGGGCUCAACCCCGGCGAGCCGUUGAAACUGGGGGGCUGGAGUUGGAGAGAAGUAAGCGGAAUGCGAGGUGGAGCGGUGAAAUGCUUAGAUAUCGCGCAGAACCCCGAUUGAGAAGGCAGCGUACCGGCUCCACACUGACGCUGAGGCACGAAAGCGUGGGUAUCGAACAGGAUUAGAUACCCGGGUAGUC